CGCAUCUGUGCAUGCAGCAUAUCAAUAAGCGGAGGAAAAGAAACUAACAAGGAUUCCCCUAGUAACGGCGAGUGAAGCGGGAAGAGCUCAAAUUUGAAAUCUUAAAGGGUCUCCCUUUACGAAUUGUAGUUUAAAGAAGUGUUUUCUGUUGAGGUUUUGGUAAAAGUUCUUUGGAAUAGGACAUCAUAGAGGGUGAGAAUCCCGUAUUUGACCUUUACUUUCAACUUUGUGAUACACUUUCAAAGAGUCGGAUUGUUUGGGAAUGCAGUCCAAAAUGGGUGGUAAAUUUCAUCUAAAGCUAAAUAUUGGCGAGAGACCGAUAGCGAACAAGUACCGUGAGGGAAAGAUGAAAAGAACUUUGAAAAGAGAGUUAAACAGUACGUGAAAUUGUCAAAAGGGAAGCGUUUGACACCAGUGUUGUUUUUCUGAAAAUCAAUUAAAGAACUGUUUAUGCUAAGCUUGUUUAGACUUUAUCAGCUAUCUGUUUAGUUUUAGGCUUUUCUUUAAUGCACUUUUCAGUUAACAAGUCAACAUCAAUUUCUUUUGCUGUAAAAAAGCUUGAGGAAGGUGGCUUGAGAUUCGUCUUAAGUGUUUAUAGCCUCUUGCCUAUGCAGUCGGAGAGAUCGAGGUCUGCAGCGUAGAUCCUUCGGGGCUAAAUGCAUUUGUGCUAAGUUAUAAGCAUUUUAUAGACAACUUGUUGACUAUGAUUUGUCUUGUAGCUUACUCGCUUAUGUUAUUUUACCUACGCUUAGGAUGUUGAACGCGCACAGAGUCUC
This 776-nucleotide ribosomal RNA is filed under the name uncultured Neocallimastigales. RNAcentral describes it as "partial large subunit ribosomal RNA". It matches the Rfam family "Eukaryotic large subunit ribosomal RNA", at positions 26 to 634 of the family's 3401-position model. The record is from RNAcentral. Lineage: Eukaryota; Fungi; Neocallimastigomycota; Neocallimastigomycetes; Neocallimastigales.